Molecule: ribosomal RNA, 454 nt
Filed under: uncultured bacterium
Lineage: Bacteria
Description: bacterial SSU rRNA
Rfam family: Bacterial small subunit ribosomal RNA
Source: RNAcentral
CUAGUUGGUGAGGUAAUGGCUCACCAAGGCUACGACGGGUAGGGACCUGAGAGGGUCGACCCCCCACAAUGGAACUGAAACACGGUCCAUACACCUACGGGUGGCAGCAGUAGGGAAUAUUGCACAAUGGGCGAAAGCCUGAUGCAGCAACGCCGCGUGUGCGAUGAAGGCCUUCGGGUCGUAAAGCACUUUUCUGGGAGAUGAGCAAGGACAGUAUCUCAGGAAUAAGUCUCGGCUAACUACGUGCCAGCAGCCGCGGUAAAACGUAGGAGGCAAGCGUUAUCCGGAUUCACUGGGCGUAAAGCGCGUGCAGGCGGUUCGGUAAGUUGGGCGUGAAAUCUCCUGGCUUAACUAGGAGAGGUCGUUCAAUACUACCGGACUUGAGAGUGAUAGAGGAAGAUGGAAUUCCCGGUGUAGUGGUGAAAUGCGUAGAUAUCGGGAGGAACACCAGUGG